Molecule: long non-coding RNA, 603 nt
Filed under: Felis catus (domestic cat)
Lineage: Eukaryota; Metazoa; Chordata; Mammalia; Carnivora; Felidae
Description: lncRNA (ENSFCAG00000049964.1)
Source: RNAcentral
CUGCUGUAUAAAACAACAUCGCUAAUAGAUCUGUCACCCGCUGUCCUUCCUUUUUACUUUGCAUAUACAUCUCGCAAUUCUCUAAAGGGCUUGCCUCCCUUCAGGAGUAGCCCUUCAGGAAGUCCCUGAGCUGCCUUUUUCUUCGGAAGCCUCGAUGCAGAACUGUGAAUAUGACAUCUUUCAUCUCACCUGAUAGGCGAGCCUUCCCCAAAUCCCAGAGAACAACUCUCGUGGGAAAGAGAAUUGUAAAAAUUGAAGAAAUCGUGAAGUCUGCUCUUAGCAAUCUGCAGAGAUGGCACCAGGAUUGUGGGUGAUCGUCAAUGCAAUGUCCCAUUUUCACAAAAUCCUCAAAAGGAGGCAAAAGCAAGUGUCAGUAGAUAGGUUCCUUGUUAAAGUUGCACAAAAAGGAAAAGAUUCCAUUGAGCCAAUAGGUAGCAGUGAUUCUGUUAGUGAUGAUUUAAGUCUUCCCACACAAUGGCCCUUCUGUCGCUUGUUUCCCUCACACCAGCCACAAAGGUUUUCAAAGGUAAGUGCAGAUUAAUUGGUUUAUUUUUGUUUAUAUUUGGUAUUUUUUAUUUUGUAUUAUAAUACAGUACUGUAAUA